AUUGCUUCUCAGCCUUUUGGCUAAGAUCAAGUGUAAAAUGCAUGUACUAAUUGCUUAUGAUUACACAAAGAAUAGAAUUGGUGGGUAACAAAAUCACGUGUAUUUAUACAGUAUUUGCACUAAAUGCUUUCUCAGCCAGCUGAUCAGAGCUAAACAUC
This is a small nuclear RNA of Heterocephalus glaber (naked mole-rat), 158 nucleotides long. Its record names the gene U2. It matches the Rfam family "U2 spliceosomal RNA". Rfam says of the family: U2 is a small nuclear RNA (snRNA) component of the spliceosome (involved in pre-mRNA splicing). Complementary binding between U2 snRNA (in an area lying towards the 5' end but 3' to hairpin I) and the branchpoint sequence (BPS) of the intron results the bulging out of an unpaired adenosine, on the BPS, which initiates a nucleophilic attack at the intronic 5' splice site, thus starting the first of two transesterification reactions that mediate splicing. The record is from Ensembl. Lineage: Eukaryota; Metazoa; Chordata; Mammalia; Rodentia; Bathyergidae.